GGGUCAUGCGCCAAUGAACAAUUAGCGCAAUGAUCUCAGUAGCCUUAAUGAAAAAUAAUAGAAAUGAGAUGAUUGAUAGCUUGGUUUCGCACUCUAAUUGAAUGGCGCUGCUAGUAGGUCUCGCGGGUUCCUUAACAACUAGUUUCUUGAGAAGGGCUUGGUACCCCCUCCUUUAAGACCAAUAUUAGGAAUGCUUGGUGAAGGACUGGAAAUGGCGACUAGAGGGGGAUGAAUGAGAACCGUAAAUUUUUGUCCCAAAAUAUUUUCGCCCACUGUCUUAAAUCACCGCCAAACACAAGCGAGAGUCCCGAAACUAAAUUACUCAAGUCAACCGGUGACAAAAAACAGAACUCAAAUCGGAGCACAAACGACCAUGCUACAUGUAAAAAGAAAAAUCAGAGCUAGAAAAAAUUCACUGAAAAAUCCCCUAAAAAGAUGUUGAACCCAGAGGGCCUGCGCACGGUGGUGUGACUGCCUCUGCUCUGAUCGAUUCACACAUGGCACAAAUUCACAACCGUAAAUAGCAUGGCAAGCAAAAAUUAGAAAUUAAACAUCUAUGGCAGAAAACAAACAGAAGACCAAUUAGAGCACUCGCACACAAAAAACAAAUCAAACAAGAACUUCACAAAAAAAAACUGCUGAGCAAUCACACUGGAGUAAAUGCAAUCUCUUGACCAAUCAAAGUUUAGCACACUUUGACUCACGAUAAGCAUUGCUAGGUGCUGGACUAGUGCACAGAGCCGAUGCACUUGAUGCUGGACCGCCAGCACCUCGACCUGCAGCAAGAACAGAACCAGCAGCCGGAUUUCUCUGUCUAGAAAUCGAACUAUGGGGUCUGAGUCCAACUCCAAAACGCUAAAAAAAACAGACAGAGUGCAGAUCACACGAAGCGAGGGUACUUGGGGCCGAGCCAACCUGGGCAGUGGUGUGAGCACUAAGAGCUGGAGGGCUUGGCUCUUCACUCGACGUGGAACUAGAGACACAAGCAAGCGGCGAGCGCCGCUGUGAGGAGCGCGCACGGUGCCUGGCGCCGGCGUGGAUAGCGCUGCCGCUGAGCCUGCUCAAGUGCUUGGCUUCUAAAAAACGACGAACACACAGAGAAAGAGGCGGCUACCAAAUCAACGAAAACUCGACCAGAUCUUCGUGAAUCGCUCCCAAAUUUUGGUCAGAUGAAAUUCAACCUUGCACGAAUCCGUUCCCCAAAAAUCAUCACGGAUUGACCCAAACUCUGAGAAAAUCAUAUCGUAGCCAAACACGAAAAAGAGAAGAAAUGAAAAAGAGAAGAAAUAAGAACAAAAAUUACAGCUUCAAAAUAGGAACCCCUAAGGACAAAAGGAGGAUUUGGGCCUUCAUUCCUACUCCAAAACACAACAAAAAUAUUACGAAUUUUCUCAGUUCAUGAAUCUCUAUAACUCAUAAAAAAAGUUAAACCUAGAAAGAAAGGAGGAGAUGACUAUUGGGAGAGAGGUGGAGAGAGGUGAGGGAGAUGGGGGACUCCCCUCCUUAUUUAUCGGGCAUAGUUCAUGAAUCUCUAGAACUCACGAAAAAAAGUUAAACCUAGAGAGAAAGGGGAGAAGAUGACUAUUGGGAGAGAGGUGGAG
RNAcentral lists this long non-coding RNA (1601 nucleotides) under Sorghum bicolor (sorghum). Its description in RNAcentral is "long non-coding RNA (SBIC_LNC005477)". Lineage: Eukaryota; Viridiplantae; Streptophyta; Magnoliopsida; Poales; Poaceae. The record is from RNAcentral.